UACGUAGGGGCCUAGCGUUGUCCGGAAUUAUUGGGCGUAAAGAGCUCGUAGGCGGUUCGGCAAGUCGGAUGUGAAAUCUCCACGCUUAACGUGGAGGGGCCAUUCGAAACUGCUGUGACUCGAGUCCGGUAGGGGAGUGUGGAAUUCCCGGUGUAGCGGUGAAAUGCGCAGAUAUCAGGAGGAACACCGGUGGCGAAGGCGGGUCUCUGGGCAAUAACUGACGCUGAGGAGCGAAAGCGUGGGGAGCGAACAGG
Molecule: ribosomal RNA, 254 nt
Filed under: uncultured bacterium
Lineage: Bacteria
Description: partial 16S ribosomal RNA
Rfam family: Bacterial small subunit ribosomal RNA
Source: RNAcentral